AUUGAACGCUGGCGGCAGGCCUAACACAUGCAAGUCGAGCGGAUGAAGGGAGCUUGCUCCUGGAUUCAGCGGCGGACGGGUGAGUAAUGCCUAGGAAUCUGCCUGGUAGUGGGGGAUAACGUCCGGAAACGGGCGCUAAUACCGCAUACGUCCUGAGGGAGAAAGUGGGGGAUCUUCGGACCUCACGCUAUCGGAUGAGCCUAGGUCGGAUUAGCUAGUUGGUGGGGUAAAGGCCUACCAAGGCGACGAUCCGUAACUGGUCUGAGAGGAUGAUCAGUCACACUGGAACUGAGAAACGGUCCAGACUCCUACGGGAGGCAGCAGUGGGGAAUAUUGGACAAUGGGCGAAAGCCUGAUCCAGCCAUGCCGCGUGUGUGAAGAAGGUCUUCGGAUUGUAAAGCACUUUAAGUUGGGAGGAAGGGCAGUAAGUUAAUACCUUGCUGUUUUGACGUUACCAACAGAAUAAGCACCGGCUAACUUCGUG
Molecule: ribosomal RNA, 484 nt
Filed under: uncultured bacterium
Lineage: Bacteria
Description: partial 16S ribosomal RNA
Rfam family: Bacterial small subunit ribosomal RNA
Source: RNAcentral